Molecule: ribosomal RNA, 649 nt
Filed under: soil fungal sp. DM2-342
Lineage: Eukaryota; Fungi
Description: eukaryotic LSU rRNA
Rfam family: Eukaryotic large subunit ribosomal RNA
Source: RNAcentral
GUUGUAAUUUGCAGAGGAUGCUUCGGGUGCAGCCCCCGUCUAAGUGCCCUGGAACGGGCCGUCAUAGAGGGUGAGAAUCCCGUCUGGGACGGGGUGUCUGCGUCCGUGUGAAGCUCCUUCGAAGAGUCGAGUUGUUUGGGAAUGCAGCUCUAAAUGGGUGGUAAAUUUCAUCUAAAGCUAAAUACUGGCCGGAGACCGAUAGCGCACAAGUAGAGUGAUCGAAAGAUGAAAAGCACUUUGAAAAGAGAGUUAAACAGCACGUGAAAUUGUUGAAAGGGAAGCGUUUGCGACCAGACUCGCUCGCGGGGUUCAGCCGGCAUUCGUGCCGGUGUACUUCCCCGUGGGCGGGCCAGCGUCGGUUUGGGCGGCCGGUCAAAGGCCCUCGGAAUGUAUCACCUCUCGGGGUUGUCUUAUAGCCGAGGGUGCAAUGCGGCCUGCCCGGACCGAGGAACGCGCUUCGGCUCGGACGCUGGCGUAAUGGUCGUAAAUGACCCGUCUUGAAACACGGACCAAGGAGUCUAACAUCUACGCGAGUGUUCGGGUGUCAAACCCGUACGCGCAGUGAAAGCGAACGGAGGUGGGAGCCCCCUCGUGGGGGCGCACCAUCGACCGAUCCUGAUGUCUUCGGAUGGAUUUGAGUACGAGCGUA